AACCAGCACCUCAAGUGGUCAGGAUGAUUAUUGGGCCUAAAGCAUCCGUAGCCGGCUCUGUAAGUUUUCGGUUAAAUCUGUACGCUCAACGUACAGGCUGCCGGGAAUACUGCAGAACUAGGGAGUGGGAGAGGUAGACGGUACUCGGUAGGAAGUGGUAAAAUGCUUUGAUCUAUCGAUGACCACCUGUGGCGAAGGCGGUCUACCAGAACACGUCUGACACUGAGGCACGAAGGCCAGGGGAGCAAACGGG
Molecule: ribosomal RNA, 253 nt
Filed under: uncultured archaeon
Lineage: Archaea
Description: partial 16S ribosomal RNA
Rfam family: Archaeal small subunit ribosomal RNA
Source: RNAcentral